GGAGGGAAGAGCUCAGUGGUAGAGUGUGUGUCUAGCAUGCACAAUGUCCUGGGUUCAAUCCCCAGUACCUCUA
Camelus ferus (Wild Bactrian camel) is the source of this 73-nucleotide non-coding RNA. Lineage: Eukaryota; Metazoa; Chordata; Mammalia; Artiodactyla; Camelidae. The record is from Rfam.